RNAcentral lists this ribosomal RNA (368 nucleotides) under uncultured bacterium. RNAcentral describes it as "bacterial SSU rRNA". It matches the Rfam family "Bacterial small subunit ribosomal RNA", at positions 525 to 896 of the family's 1533-position model. The record is from RNAcentral.
ACGUAUGUCGCAAGCGUUAUCCGGAUUUAUUGGGCGUAAAGCGCGUCUAGGCGGCUUAGUAAGUCUGAUGUGAAAAUGCGGGGCUCAACCCCGUAUUGCGUUGGAAACUGCUAAACUAGAGUACUGGAGAGGUAGGCGGAACUACAAGUGUAGAGGUGAAAUUCGUAGAUAUUUGUAGGAAUGCCGAUGGGGAAGCCAGCCUACUGGACAGAUACUGACGCUAAAGCGCGAAAGCGUGGGUAGCAAACAGGAUUAGAUACCCUGGUAGUCCACGCCGUAAACGAUGAUUACUAGGUGUUGGGGGUCGAACCUCAGCGCCCAAGCUAACGCGAUAAGUAAUCCGCCUGGGGAGUACGUACGCAAGUAUG